UACGGAGGAUCCAAGCGUUAUCCGGAUUUAUUGGGUUUAAAGGGUGCGCGGGCGGAAGAUUAAGUCGGCGGUGAAAUUUUGCAGCUCAACUGUAAAAGUGCCAUCGAUACUGGUUUUCUUGAGUGUGGAUGAAGUAGGCGGAAUUUGUGGUGUAGCGGUGAAAUGCAUAGAUAUCACGAGGAACUCCGAUUGCGCAGGCAGCUUACUAGGCCAUAACUGACGCUCAGGCACGAAGGCGUGGGGAUCAAACAGGAUUAGAUACCCCGGUA
Molecule: ribosomal RNA, 269 nt
Filed under: uncultured prokaryote
Description: partial 16S ribosomal RNA
Rfam family: Bacterial small subunit ribosomal RNA
Source: RNAcentral